CGGCUUGUUCCGGGGUGAGGGGCGGCCGCCGGUCAGGGCGGCGGUGUCAGCAGCGUGGCCGCGGGGCUCCGUGUCCCGAAGGCGGCCCGCCCAGGUCCCCAGGGGCUGACCCCCGAGCUGACCUCGCGGAGAACAGUUUGAGCGCAGUGUAGGCAACUAUCUCAAUGAUCCACCUGCCCCAUCAGGAAGGAAGGAGCUGAGUGGCAGCCUCACCACUGUGAGUGAAGUUUCAAAGCAAAGAGCCACAUUUCUAUAGAUGCAAGUUUCAGGACUUCUCUACAUGAGCUCUCCACAGAGUAACUGAACUUCUUACAUGGUGGCUCAAGACUCUAAGAAAGUGUGUUCCUAGAGGCAGGAAGUGCAAGCUACGGGUCUCUGAAGAUCUGAACUCCAUAUUGGCAUAGCCUUACUCCCAAUGUGUUCUCUCAGCCAGAGCAGUCACAGAAGAUCGGAUUCAAGGGUAGUGGAUAUAUCUUCCUAACAUACACAGGAAGAAUGUUGAUGAAUUUGUGACAGUCUUUAAUCCAUCAUAUCAUCCUUUUCCCCUAUUAGCUAGUGAAACUGGGCUAGAGUCAUUGGUAUUCUUUGUCAGGGCUUCAUACAUAAGCUUAACACACUGAGAUAAACAGAACUCCGUCUAAGUAGAAUAGGUCAAAAUGGGACUCAUGCAUUAAACUCCUUCUUAGGGUGCCUUUAACCAGAAGAAGGCAAGAUAAUGUCAUGUUGGGCAGCAGGUUAGGCAGUUAGCUGGAACAAUGACUCAACAACCAGGAUUUAGAAAUUAGAGCCAAAAUGUCAUCCCUACAUUUCACUUCAUUCCACUUAAUGAAUACUUUUUCAGUACCUACUACCUGCCAGUUACUACUAGACACAAGGGUGAGAUACUUGUUCUCAUGGAUCCUAUAGUCUGUUGGAGGUUAACAGUAAAUGGGUAAAUUAUUUAGUAAUCUACAAAAUAUGACAGAUUUGGCAGGGAGUGAAAGUCUCUUGGUGGUCAGGAAUAACUCUGUAGGAGUGGAAGUUUAGUCUGAUUAUCAGAGCAGUACAAAUGAGCCAGUGUCAGAAGGAAGUACAUUCUGGAAAGAGAAAGAAGUAAGUGCAAGGUAAGACAAACAGGAUGAAGGGCAGUGUGUUUGGAGCACUAUGAAUGAUGGGAGAGUUGUUGGAAAUGAAAACAGAGAAAGAUGGAGAAGUCAAAUAAUUGAGGGGCUGGAAAGCCAUGGUCAGGAGUUUGGGUUGUAUUUGGAGUAUAAAAGGAAGCUGGUAAAGGAAUUCGAUUCAGCAGAGUGGUGUUACUUGAUUGAUGUUAUAAAAAUACCUCUAGCUACUGUGUGCAGAAUGGACUGUGAGGGCAUAGGUUAGUGAACCCUGUGUGUGCGUGUGUGUGUGUGUGUGUCCCCAUGAGAAAUGAAGGCUGGUUAUUAAUGAUGGAGAUGGAAACAGUAGAGGGAUUCUAGAGAUAUUUAGGAGGAAACCCUAGUAGGGUUAGGUGAUAGAUUGGAAGGGUACAGAGGAACAGGAAGACGUCGAAGGGAGAGCUAAGUUUCUGGCAGCUAGGAUCCACUGUCAGCUCACCUUCUCACCCAAGUUAGGACAGAAUAUUUAGAUCAUUAUUUUCACUCAUCACAAGCUUGCUUUUGAGAGUGAGGCUUCUGUAUCACCAUGUGGCUUCUGUAAAUGCUACAGCAGUGAGCCCAGAAAUGUUCAGAGACACUAAAUAUAUUUUCAAAGUGCCUUUCAAUCCACUAAGGGAAAAAAAAGAGGGGACAUGCCUUCCUAACCCUUUCACUGUCAGCAUAUUAGGCUGAGCCAAGAAACAUGAGCUUUCCCCCAUGUGAGUGUCAUAGAGCAUCUUUGAAAAGAAGCUAACCUGAUUAUGAAAAUGAAGUUGAGAGACUCAGGCUCCAUGGGAAACUAUGACUUGUUCCCCUGACACAGAAAUAGCUCCAGGAUACCUCACUUCCCUGCUGCAUGAUGCUGUUCCUCUUGAUUUAUUUUCUCAGAUGAAGGAACAUUGAAUGAUCACAACUCUAGCUUUGUGCCAUCACAACCAGCUUUCAUCAAUCAUAGACUCAGACACUGGACCGAACAAGUUGCCAGAAAAAUAUCUGAGUGAGAAUUAUUUUCUGGGGGUAUCUUUACAAUUCUUUCGAUUGUAGUUUAUCAUUCUAGUCUGAGUAGGGGUGAGUUUGGACACCACGAUAAAAAAAAUAGGAGUUAUGGAUAGGCAUACCCUGAAGACACAGCAAUGGAGGGAAAUGAAUGUGCUCCACUAGCUGGGAAGUGCUUAGGUUCAAAUUUUCAGCCUGCUUAGCUUCACUGCUUAGCUGCUUGUUCAUCUCCCUUGUGUAAAAAUGUCUAUAUUCAUGUGAGCAACUCGUACAAACAAAUCUAGGGAUCAGAGUCAAAGCACUUUGAUAUUCAAAACUCUGUGGUCCUUUGCUCUAGCCAGUAAAUUUUGCUUUGACUGAACUGCUUCUCCAGCUCUUCACGUUCAGCAAUAUGCUCUGCACAACUUACAGCAAGAUGUUCUAGAAUUAUCUCUAAAUCAAUAUAAAAUGAGCACAAAAAAAUAGAAAUUUGCAGCCAGUGUCUUCUGUUCUGUCUCACCUUGCUAACAGUUCUAAAGACCUUCAGUGUGCAGACUAACUAUCUGGCACGCAGGACCACUGCAUGGAACACCACCAGUAGACAUUCAUACUGUAUUGUCUUUGAGUCCCAGCCACUGGAUAGUUAGCCGAGGGGUGGUGCCUUUCACCUGUCCCAAGGAAGUUGUGGAAUGAGGCAGCCUUGUUGCUCACUAUCCAUGAAUCAUCUCACCAACCUACUAAAAGCGCCCUUCCUGCCUGUGGCAUGACCUGUAGGGCAUGACCAAGAAUGACCUCCCAGCAUUCUUGGGCUUACCCAGCUACAGACUUCGCCCAGAUGGUGCUUCUAUAACUUAUGACUUGGCUUUUGUCCUGUUGUACUAGAACUCUACCCUAAGCCCCACCCAGCUCUUUUCAUUCUCUUCUCUAGGGGACUUGGAAUCUGUUUCCUGUAGCCACCCUGUGUUCUCUAGCACUUGGCUAGAGGCUUGGCUCAGCAAGCAUAAUUUGCCUUAGUCUACUCCAGAAAUUCUUUCUGGCAAACCUCAUUUGUCAGAUCCAAUUAACACCAAGGCCAGGUGUGCUUCCCCCUAGAACCCUGUGACUCGCCCUCUGUGAAUUCAUGCCUAGCCUUGAUCCUGCCAUUUUGGGCUUAUUCCCUCCUUUUGUAGGAUCACUUUUGAGGAUCAGGUGGGCAACACUAGAAAUGACAUUAUUCCAUUUUAAAUCCAUAUCAUUGGACAUCUAAGUGUGGGCAGAGUUACAAAUAACUUCAUUUAAGACCCUCUGCCAGCAAAGUUUUUUUUUUUUUUUAAGAUUUUAUCCAUUUAUUCAUGAAAGACACAAAGAGAGAGAGAAAGAGAGAGAGAGAGGCAGAGACAC
This is a long non-coding RNA of Canis lupus familiaris (dog), 3470 nucleotides long. RefSeq lists it as uncharacterized. The record is from RefSeq and is a predicted model, not a curated record. The transcript is spliced from 3 exons. Lineage: Eukaryota; Metazoa; Chordata; Mammalia; Carnivora; Canidae.